Molecule: long non-coding RNA, 1195 nt
Organism: Dermochelys coriacea (leatherback sea turtle)
Lineage: Eukaryota; Metazoa; Chordata; Testudines; Dermochelyidae
Exons: 3
Source: RefSeq, a predicted model, not a curated record
GAGCUAAUCACAUCAUACCUGAGACCAUUCCGAGGGAAGCUGUUAUGACAUCAAAACACCCGCCUUACUAGUAAGAUCUUCAGGUUGCCAAAUCAAGCGCUGGAAAGAUUAAAAAUGCCAGAAAAUCUGAUCUGUGAAUACAUGUGAUUAAUCACAACCACCUUUGAACUACCCUCUUCUUGAGAGGACUGCGCGGGGGGAGGAGGGGGGCUGGAAGCCUCAUCUCAUUGAAAUUCAUUAGGAGGCAGAGUUAACAGUGCAUUGGGUUGAAGAUGAGACAAACUGUCACCUCUCCUGUUGCUGCUCUAGGCCAGACAAUUUCUGCAAGGCUGAACAAACCAUGCAACACAGCUGUGUGUUUUCAAAGUGGUGGCUGAAAUUCUACAUUUCCUUUGGUAAUGAAAGUUGAGACUUGGCAGAAUCAGAAGGAAUCCAACAUUGCAGAAAAAUGAACCAGAAAGGAUCAACAACUUGUUGAUGUUUGCUGGAAUCAGCUGGGCAUCCAUGGAAAAAAAUAUCCCAACCUGCCUGAGGCUGAAAUGCUGUUGGGGAUGAUGGGACUCACCUGCCACCAGAUCCGGAUUUGGUUCCAGAAUAGAAGGGGGAAGCACCGGAGACUUUACACUGGAGACGGGACACCUGGGAGCAGUCUCUGUACCCUGCAGUGCUGUGCACACUCCUGCAAUGAUCCAUUCUCCCUGUUUCAUAGGCCAGCACCUCCUGGAUACCCAGGACCUGAUCCAGGGAUGCAAUGGGCUCUGCAGGGACCAGCAAACUUUGCAUUGACUCCAGAAUCAACCUGCCUCCCCUUCAGCCAGCUCCCAGCUGUACUUCCAGGGCUACAACAAACAGGCCCCAGAAACCAGCAUAGAAACCUCUCCCCCUGCUGUGCAACCAGUGGCUAUUGUCUCUACUUCCUCCUCUACCCACAGGUUCAGUCCAUGCGGUCUCUGGAGCUGUCACUGUUAAUCACUCUGCUCUCUUCAUGGACACAUGUUGACACCCAGGGAGUAACUUCAGCUUUCCUGUCUGGAUUCCCCACUGGCUCUGUUUCCCAGCCUGAAUCGUGGAGUUCUCAGGCUCUUUCACUUCCAAGGAAUCUCUGACACUCUUCACUCAUGAAAACACCAAGAUUCCUUCAGACUAAGUGAAAAGCUGGGCAGAGGGAGAGGGAAAGAGCUGUGGUUUAAGUGUU